CCUACGGGGGGCUGCAGUGGGGAAUAUUGCGCAAUGGAGGAAACUCUGACGCAGCAACGCCGCGUGAAUGAUGAAGGCCUUAGGGUUGUAAAGUUCUGUCUUCUGGGACGAUAAUGACGGUACCAGAGGAGGAAGCCACGGCUAACUACGUGCCAGCAGCCGCGGUAAUACGUAGGUGGCAAGCGUUGUCCGGAUUUACUGGGCGUAAAGGAUGCGUAGGCGGAUAUUUAAGUCAGAUGUGAAAUACCCGGGCUCAACUUGGGUGCUGCAUUUGA
RNAcentral lists this ribosomal RNA (275 nucleotides) under uncultured Clostridium sp. RNAcentral's name for it is "partial 16S ribosomal RNA". It matches the Rfam family "Bacterial small subunit ribosomal RNA", at positions 338 to 630 of the family's 1533-position model. The record is from RNAcentral. Lineage: Bacteria; Bacillati; Bacillota; Clostridia; Eubacteriales; Clostridiaceae.